Non-coding RNA from Paramuricea clavata, 708 nucleotides. The record is from the annotation of a GenBank genome assembly. Lineage: Eukaryota; Metazoa; Cnidaria; Anthozoa; Malacalcyonacea; Plexauridae.
UAACAAAGAAUUUACAUAAUAUUUUAAAGGAAAUCACCAAAAAUAACCUUUCGAUAUGACAACAAAACGUUCGUCUUACGUUUUUGCGCCCGCGGUCCUUGUCUUUUGCGGUCGCAUUCCUGAUCUCUAUUUUUAACUGGAUGCUGUCAUAAGGACAGAAACAUCCCCCUCCCGAAUGUAAAAACAUUCGAACCCAACUAACAAAACUAGUUAAUAUAUAACUGCGAUGUGGUCCAUGUCUUAGGUAACUGUCCGAGCGUUAUGAAUUGUCUCCUGCGUAUUCAAAAGGGCACAACCGGUGCACCGGACGCAAGUAUUCACCGUCUUUCGAUUUUAUCCUUACAACCCGUACCAAUCCGUCAUUUCCAGGAAAUACUUCGAUAACUCGACCAAGAGGCCAUUCUCCCCUCUCUGCAUUCGGCUCUACUAACAUUACGUCGUCCUCCUUUAGGUUGUGUGUCGGAUGAAACCACUUCUUUCGUGUAUUUAAGCUCGGCAGAAACUCUCUCCUCCAGCGUUUCCAAAACUGCCCCACCAACUGCUGUACACGAUGCCAACGCUUUCGGGGGUUGAAAACUUCAUCUCUAUCUGCGGUUUCAGGAGCAAACUUUCCUCCCAACUGUCCGAUAAGGAAAUGACUCUGGGUCAACGGGGAAAGAUCAUCAGGAUCUGAACUGACGAAGGUGAUUGGUCGUGAGUUUAAUAAAC